Molecule: RNA transcript, 1116 nt
Organism: Daphnia pulicaria
Lineage: Eukaryota; Metazoa; Arthropoda; Branchiopoda; Diplostraca; Daphniidae
Gene name: chorion peroxidase-like
Exons: 7
Source: RefSeq, a predicted model, not a curated record
ACAGCGUCAGACUCAAACCCGGGUCCCAGCGCCACACCCACAGUCGGAUAUUUUUCCACUCGACACCCACACGUCCCCAUUAGAAUCAGCAGCAGUUCACUCUACGCAGUUAACACGGCUCAGCAUUUAGCAACGAGAAAUCAAAUCAAGCCGGAGCAGGUCGAGUGCGUUUUGAACCAUUUUGAACUGAAAUACACGACCAUAGCCGACACGUGUCCGAUUUUUCCCGACUGCAAUCUCAAGACAUUCAAUUCGCCGUUUCGAACGAUUACGGGCAUUUGCAACAACAUCAUCCACCUGGCCACGCCCCCUGGGGUGUGCCGAGAACCCAAUACCAACGGGCUCUCGCCCCGAAUUACGCAGACGGUAUCUGGAUGCCUCGACGAGCUACAAAUGGUGGCGAACUUCCUCAUCCCCGUCAAAUUAGUGAUUCGCGACGUCGCGCGUCAUGCAGUACGGCCAGUUUAUCGAUCCCGACAUGCUGGAAACCAUGGAAUCUAAAACUGGUAUUGUAUUACAUAUUGUAUUAUUGGGCAAUAUAUGGCGGAAACUGUUGGUCCGAGUCUAAUAAAUAUUUGGUUGUUGAUUUGUUGUUGAAGCCGACGGAGCGUCAGUGCCUUGUUGCACGGACGAUGCCCGAUGGUCAAUUUCUUGACGAGGGCGACCUUAGUCACGGCAAGUGCAUUCCCAUCGAAAUUCCCCAGGACGACCCGCUUUACUCCUUGUUUCGCCAACGUUGCAUGCAAUUCGCCCGUUCCGCUACCGCGUGCAGAACCGACGGACGCCUCGGCCAUGUUGAGCAGUUCACUUUUGAUUGCAGAUGAAUCAAAACACCCACUAUCUGGAUCAUUCUGGCCUUUACGGCUCCGACCAUCAACUGGCCGGUGAGCUGAGGACGUUCGAAAAAGGCGCCCUCAAGAUAUUUGUCCGUCCUCGCUAAGGUUGCCACCACGACAUGGACUUGCAUCCACCCGACAACGAAACGGAUGUCGAUUGCGCCUUGUCUAAGGCCAUGACCGGAGUCAAUCCGCCUCCUGAAAUCAAAUGCUUCAAAGCAGGCGACGACCGAAUCAUAGUCACUCCCUACAUGGUCGCCUCGCAAACUGUUUUCCUGCG